RNAcentral lists this ribosomal RNA (1739 nucleotides) under Salmonella enterica subsp. enterica serovar Bovismorbificans. RNAcentral's name for it is "partial 23S ribosomal RNA". It matches the Rfam family "Bacterial large subunit ribosomal RNA", at positions 1219 to 2925 of the family's 2925-position model. The record is from RNAcentral. Lineage: Bacteria; Pseudomonadati; Pseudomonadota; Gammaproteobacteria; Enterobacterales; Enterobacteriaceae.
UGUUGUUGGGUAGGGGAGCGUUCUGUAAGCCUGUGAAGGUGUGUCGUGAGGCAUGCUGGAGGUAUCAGAAGUGCGAAUGCUGACAUAAGUAACGAUAAAGCGGGUGAAAAGCCCGCUCGCCGGAAGACCAAGGGUUCCUGUCCAACGUUAAUCGGGGCAGGGUGAGUCGACCCCUAAGGCGAGGCCGAAAGGCGUAGUCGAUGGGAAACGGGUUAAUAUUCCCGUACUUGGUGUUACUGCGAAGGGGGGACGGAGAAGGCUAUGUUGGCCGGGCGACGGUUGUCCCGGUUUAAGCGUGUAGGCUGGUUUUCCAGGCAAAUCCGGAAAAUCAAGGCUGAGGCGUGACGACGAGGCACUACGGUGCUGAAGCAACAAAUGCCCUGCUUCCAGGAAAAGCCUCUAAGCAUCAGGUAACAUCAAAUCGUACCCCAAACCGACACAGGUGGUCAGGUAGAGAAUACCAAGGCGCUUGAGAGAACUCGGGUGAAGGAACUAGGCAAAAUGGUGCCGUAACUUCGGGAGAAGGCACGCUGACACGUAGGUGAAGUGAUUUACUCAUGGAGCUGAAGUCAGUCGAAGAUACCAGCUGGCUGCAACUGUUUAUUAAAAACACAGCACUGUGCAAACACGAAAGUGGACGUAUACGGUGUGACGCCUGCCCGGUGCCGGAAGGUUAAUUGAUGGGGUCAGCGCAAGCGAAGCUCCUGAUCGAAGCCCCGGUAAACGGCGGCCGUAACUAUAACGGUCCUAAGGUAGCGAAAUUCCUUGUCGGGUAAGUUCCGACCUGCACGAAUGGCGUAAUGAUGGCCAGGCUGUCUCCACCCGAGACUCAGUGAAAUUGAACUCGCUGUGAAGAUGCAGUGUACCCGCGGCAAGACGGAAAGACCCCGUGAACCUUUACUAUAGCUUGACACUGAACAUUGAGCCUUGAUGUGUAGGAUAGGUGGGAGGCUUUGAAGUGUGGACGCCAGUCUGCAUGGAGCCGACCUUGAAAUACCACCCUUUAAUGUUUGAUGUUCUAACGUGGACCCGUAAUCCGGGUUGCGGACAGUGUCUGGUGGGUAGUUUGACUGGGGCGGUCUCCUCCUAAAGAGUAACGGAGGAGCACGAAGGUUGGCUAAUCCUGGUCGGACAUCAGGAGGUUAGUGCAAUGGCAUAAGCCAGCUUGACUGCGAGCGUGACGGCGCGAGCAGGUGCGAAAGCAGGUCAUAGUGAUCCGGUGGUUCUGAAUGGAAGGGCCAUCGCUCAACGGAUAAAAGGUACUCCGGGGAUAACAGGCUGAUACCGCCCAAGAGUUCAUAUCGACGGCGGUGUUUGGCACCUCGAUGUCGGCUCAUCACAUCCUGGGGCUGAAGUAGGUCCCAAGGGUAUGGCUGUUCGCCAUUUAAAGUGGUACGCGAGCUGGGUUUAGAACGUCGUGAGACAGUUCGGUCCCUAUCUGCCGUGGGCGCUGGAGAACUGAGGGGGGCUGCUCCUAGUACGAGAGGACCGGAGUGGACGCAUCACUGGUGUUCGGGUUGUCAUGCCAAUGGCACUGCCCGGUAGCUAAAUGCGGAAGAGAUAAGUGCUGAAAGCAUCUAAGCACGAAACUUGCCCCGAGAUGAGUUCUCCCUGAGACUUUAGGUCUCCUGAAGGAACGUUGAAGACGACGACGUUGAUAGGCCGGGUGUGUAAGCGCAGCGAUGCGUUGAGCUAACCGGUACUAAUGAACCGUGAGGCUUAACCUUACAACGCCGAAG